GACGAACGCUGGCGGCGUGCCUAAUACAUGCAAGUAGAACGCACAGUUUAUACCGUAGCUUGCUACACCAUAGACUGUGAGUUGCGAACGGGUGAGUAACGCGUAGGUAACCUGCCUGGUAGCGGGGGAUAACUAUUGGAAACGAUAGCUAAUACCGCAUAAUAUUAAUUAUUGCAUGAUAAUUAAUUGAAAGGUGCAAUUGCACCACUACCAGAUGGACCUGCGUUGUAUUAGCUAGUAGGUGAGGUGACGGCUCACCUAGGCGACGAUACAUAGCCGACCUGAGAGGGUGAUCGGCCACACUGGGACUGAGACACGGCCCAGACUCCUACGGGAGGCAGCAGUAGGGAAUCUUCGGCAAUGGACGAAAGUCUGACCGAGCAACGCCGCGUGAGUGAAGAAGGUUUUCGGAUCGUAAAGCUCGGUUGUAAGAGAAGAACGGGUGUGAGAGUGGAAAGUUCACACUGUGACGGUAUCUUACCAGAAAGGGACGGCUAACUACGUG
Molecule: ribosomal RNA, 505 nt
Filed under: uncultured bacterium
Lineage: Bacteria
Description: partial 16S ribosomal RNA
Rfam family: Bacterial small subunit ribosomal RNA
Source: RNAcentral